GAAAUGCGAUAAGUAAUGUGAAUUGCAGAAUUCAGUGAAUCAUCGAAUCUUUGAACGCACCUUGCUCUCCUUGGUAUUCCUUGGAGCAUGCCUGUUUGAGUAUCAUGAAAUCUUCAAAGUAAAUCUUUUGUUAACUCAAUUGGCUUCUACUUUGGUAUUGGAGGUCUUUGCAGCUUCACACCUGCUCCUCUUUGUUCAUUAGCUGGAUCUCAGUGUUAUGCUUGGUUCCACUCGGCGUGAUAAGUUAUCUAUCGCUGAGGACACUGUAAAAGGUGGCCAAGGUAAAUGCAGAUGAACCGCUUCUAAUAGUCCAUUGACUUGGACAAUACUUUUAUGAUCUGAUCUCAAAUCAGGUAGGACUACCCGCUGAACUUAAGC
This 378-nucleotide unclassified non-coding RNA is filed under the name plant metagenome. RNAcentral describes it as "partial contains 5.8S ribosomal RNA, internal transcribed spacer 2, and large subunit ribosomal RNA". The stretch from base 1 to 105 matches the Rfam family "5.8S ribosomal RNA", at positions 50 to 154 of the family's 154-position model. The record is from RNAcentral.